GUUGGGCGGGCGGGGGGGGUUCUCUCAGGGGCUCUCGCUCGGCGCGGCCAUGGAGGCGGACGGGAGCCAGGCUACCUCGGGGAGCCCCGGAGAGGCGCAGCACGACCCCGGCAAGAUGUUCAUCGGCGGCCUCAGCUGGCAAACCUCACCAGACAGCCUUAGAGACUAUUUUAGCAAAUUCGGAGAAAUUAGGGAGUGUAUGGUCAUGCGGGACCCCACCACCAAGCGCUCCAGGUAAAACCGCCGCC
Long non-coding RNA from Neopelma chrysocephalum (saffron-crested tyrant-manakin), 248 nucleotides. RefSeq lists it as uncharacterized. Lineage: Eukaryota; Metazoa; Chordata; Aves; Passeriformes; Pipridae. The transcript has 3 exons. The record is from RefSeq and is a predicted model, not a curated record.